GAUGAACGCUGGCGGCGUGCCUAAUACAUGCAAGUCGAGCGAACAGACGAGGAGCUUGCUCCUCUGACGUUAGCGGCGGACGGGUGAGUAACACGUGGAUAACCUACCUAUAAGACUGGGAUAACUUCGGGAAACCGGAGCUAAUACCGGAUAAUAUAUUGAACCGCAUGGUUCAAUAGUGAAAGACGGUUUUGCUGUCACUUAUAGAUGGAUCCGCGCCGCAUUAGCUAGUUGGUAGGUAACGGCUUACCAAGGCAACGAUGCGUAGCCGACCUGAGAGGGUGAUCGGCCACACUGGAACUGAGACACGGUCCAGACUCCUACGGGAGGCAGCAGUAGGGAAUCUUCCGCAAUGGGCGAAAGCCUGACGGAGCAACGCCGCGUGAGUGAUGAAGGUCUUCGGAUCGUAAAACUCUGUUAUUAGGGAAGAACAAAUGUGUAAGUAACUAUGCACGUCUUGACGGUACCUAAUCAGAAAGCCACGGCUAACUACGUG
RNAcentral lists this ribosomal RNA (496 nucleotides) under uncultured bacterium. Its description in RNAcentral is "partial 16S ribosomal RNA". It matches the Rfam family "Bacterial small subunit ribosomal RNA", at positions 28 to 507 of the family's 1533-position model. The record is from RNAcentral.